Molecule: ribosomal RNA, 507 nt
Filed under: Bacillus subtilis
Lineage: Bacteria; Bacillati; Bacillota; Bacilli; Caryophanales; Bacillaceae
Description: bacterial SSU rRNA
Rfam family: Bacterial small subunit ribosomal RNA
Source: RNAcentral
GAGGCAGCGCGGGUGCCACAACAUGCAAGUUCGAGCGGACAGAUGGGAAGCUUGCUCCCUGAUGUUAGCGGCGGACGGGUGAGUAACACGUGGGUAACCUGCCUGUAAGACUGGGAUAACUCCGGGAAACCGGGGCUAAUACCGGAUGGUUGUUUGAACCGCAUGGUUCAAACAUAAAAGGUGGCUUCGGCUACCACUUACAGAUGGACCCGCGGCGCAUUAGCUAGUUGGUGAGGUAACGGCUCACCAAGGCAACGAUGCGUAGCCGACCUGAGAGGGUGAUCGGCCACACUGGGACUGAGACACGGCCCAGACUCCUACGGGAGGCAGCAGUAGGGAAUCUUCCGCAAUGGACGAAAGUCUGACGGAGCAACGCCGCGUGAGUGAUGAAGGUUUUCGGAUCGUAAAGCUCUGUUGUUAGGGAAGAACAAGUACCGUUCGAAUAGGGCGGUACCUUGACGGUACCUAACCAGAAAGCCACGGCUAACUACGUGCCAACAGCAAAGG